RNAcentral lists this non-coding RNA (31 nucleotides) under Mus musculus (house mouse). Lineage: Eukaryota; Metazoa; Chordata; Mammalia; Rodentia; Muridae. The record is from RNAcentral.
UAGGAUUAAGGGUGUGUAUCCACCAUGCCUA